UGGCCGCGGGAUUCGAUUAAGCCAUGCGAGUCGAGAGGGUUCGGCCCUCGGCGUACUGCUCAGUAACACGUGGAUAACCUGCCCUAGGGGAGGGGAUAACCCCGGGAAACUGGGGAUAAUACCCUAUAGGUUACAGAUGCUGGAAUGCCCUGUAACCAAAAGCUCCGGCGCCCUAGGAUGGAUCUGCGGCCGAUUAGGUUGUUGUUGGGGUAACGGCCCAACAAGCCCGUAAUCGGUACGGGUUGUGGGAGCAAGAGCCCGGAGUUGGAUUCUGAGACACGAAUCCAGGCCCUACGGGGCGCAGCAGGCGCGAAACCUUUACAAUGCGGGCAACCGUGAUAAGGGAACCUCGAGUGCCUGUAAACGCAGGCUGUUCAGGUGUUUAAAACGCACCUGGAGAAAGGGCCGGGCAAGACCGGUGCCAGCCGCCGCGGUAAUACCGGUGGCUCGAGUGGUGGCCGCUUUUAUUGGGCUUAAAGCGUUCGUAGCUGGGUUGUUAAGUCUCUUGGGAAAUCUGGCGGCUUAACCGUCAGGCGUCUAAGGGAUACUGGCAAUCUUGGAACCGGGAGAGGUGAGGGGUACUUCGGGGGUAGGGGUGAAACCCUGUAAUCCUCGAGGGACCACCUGUGGCGAAGGCGCCUCACCAGAACGGCUUCGACAGUGAGGGACGAAAGCUGGGGGAGCAAACCGGAUUAGAUACCCGGGUAGUCCCAGCCGUAAACGAUGCGCGUUAGGUGUAUCGGUGACCACGAGUUACCGAGGUGCCGAAGGGAAACCGUGAAACGCGCCGCCUGGGAAGUACGGUCGCAAGGCUGAAACUUAAAGGAAUUGGCGGGGGAGCAAAUCACUAGUGCGGCCGCCUGCAGGUCGAC
This 872-nucleotide ribosomal RNA is filed under the name uncultured archaeon. RNAcentral describes it as "bacterial SSU rRNA". It matches the Rfam family "Archaeal small subunit ribosomal RNA", at positions 28 to 906 of the family's 1478-position model. The record is from RNAcentral.